AAAGCUGAGAGAAUUUUAGUAACUUGCCAAAGGACAAGUAGCUAAGAGGUGAUGGAGCUGAAGCUGGAAUCCAGAUGUCUUGGAUUCCAAAUUCUCCUAGUCAUUCCUAGUGCUGCCUGUCUGCCCUCCUCUUACAUGGUAACUCUUCUGCUGAGUCCUCCUGAUCUCUCCUCAGCUCUUGGUGCCCCGUCUUCUCAAAUGCAUCCAUAGGUCAUUUUGCUCCCCACCUCCUUGGACCAUGAGAAGCUUUUAGCUGGAUCUGUACAUUAGUCAUCGAGUAUUCCCAGUUUGUGGCAUAGAUUAGCUUCUCAGUAAAUAUCUCUUGGAUAAAGGAACAAAUCAUUGCAAGUAUCUUCAUGCAUAUUACUAAAUUGUUCUUUAUCAACCUUGUACUCUAAUUUUAUUAGCAAGAUUUCCAACACCAGCUCACUGCAUGAUCACUGGCCCUAAGAAAUUGAACUUCAACUACUUCAAGACCAUGUUGUUUCACCCAUUUUAUAUCCACAUCACUCUUCUGAAUUUCUGUAGGAGAAAGAUCCUUGGAGUGGAUCAGGUGGCCAGGAUGAACUUUGGAAAGAAUGUCAUCACUUUGAAAUAUUUCACCAUUUCUGGCUUGCAAGAGGGCUAUUAUCUAUUUUGCUGUUGACACAAAAAGGGAUAUUACCAUGUGACUGAGCAAGAGGCUUCAGCAGUUUCUCCAAGUUCCAUCAAGCCACAAACAUACUGAGGUUUGCUUUUCCUUUAAAAAUAAGACCACUGCCCCAAACCAGGAGCAGAAUGUCUAUACAUGUGGGAGAUCCUACUUGGACAGUUUCUGUCAUUUCCUUUAAAAUGAUGGUUCCAUUGUGCCCCAUUGUAGUGGAAUUUGAGGGUAGCAUUACUCUCUGACUUUAGGUUUUUUUAUGAGAAGCAGAUUAGACUAACUACACUUGAGCCUUGAACCAGCUUGGGGUUAAUCUGCAUAUAAAUUAAAAUUGGCUCUCUGCAUCCAUAGUUCCUGCAGAACAUGUACUUCAGCCAACCCUGGUUUAUGUAGUGCUAUAGUAUUUGCUAUUGAAAAAUGCCUGCCUGUAAGUGGAUCCAACAGUUCAAACCUGCAUUGUUCAAGGAUCAACCAUAUAUAAUUCUUCUUUUAAUAUAGGCAAUGUCAGGCUCAAUCUGAAUAUUUAUAGAUAUAGCAUGAAUUUCCCAAACCAUCUUCUGAGUUAGAAGCACAACUGUGAGUAUGUCUGUAUCCCUUUGUUUAGUGAUCUCAUUUAUGAGAUUAUGCCAUGAGUGGGACAUCUUUGGGGUUUUAAAGGUGAUGCCUUGGAGGUUUUGGAACCAGGAAAUUGACAGUGAUUAGCAUUUGAACUGUCACUUCCUCCUUUGCUAUGUUACCAGUAUAGAUGGCACCAUAG
Molecule: long non-coding RNA, 1400 nt
Filed under: Sus scrofa (pig)
Lineage: Eukaryota; Metazoa; Chordata; Mammalia; Artiodactyla; Suidae
Description: lncRNA (ENSSSCG00015063567.1)
Source: RNAcentral